UGGAAUAGAGAUGAACAAUCUAAUGAAACUAAGUUGACACCAUAAAGUUGAGAUAUUUGACUCUCCAAUAUUCUUGGAAUGACUUACAAUUAGGUACUUUGAAACUCCAAGUUUCUUGUAAUGACUUAUAAUUUGGUCAAAGUAGAGAUACUUGACUCUCCAAGAUUCUUGGAAUGACUUACAAUUUGGUCAAAAUUGAGAUACUUGACUCUCCAAGAUGGAAUUAUCUUCUAGUAGAAAAACAAGCAUAAGCACUUAAGGUCGAGAACAAGGGAUCGACUAAUGCAUAUGAAACUACACCAUGAAAUUUUCAUCUAGAUAAAACCAUGUAUGCACAGUUACCAACACAGUUUGUGUCUUGCAUGUACUAAUGCAUAUGAAACUACACCAUGAAAUUUUGCAUUGUAGAGGUAGUUUCAAACACAAUUUCAUUUUCAUGUUGCUUAUGUGGCUAUCUUGGAAACAUCAAAAUGAAACUCUCCAUUGGGAUUAGCCUAGAUUUUCAUUGCCUCGCCAUCACAUUAACCGUCAAGAACAAGGGAGGUUCACAGUUCACAC
RNAcentral lists this long non-coding RNA (558 nucleotides) under Setaria viridis. RNAcentral's name for it is "long non-coding RNA (SVIR_LNC006749)". The record is from RNAcentral. Lineage: Eukaryota; Viridiplantae; Streptophyta; Magnoliopsida; Poales; Poaceae.